CCUCAUUGAAAUGGGGAGAAUACACGGUGUAAUUCCUUGGUCGAUGUAAGGACCUUAAAGGCUCGAACAAAUAGCUACAAGUCAAUUCUCGUGCUGGAAGGGCGUUUGUCACCAGGGAUUACCUUCGGCCAAUUGAGUAUGGGAGAACCUGAAGCUCCGUUUUUCAACCGUUUUCCGUCUAUUUUUGACAUUUUCAGCUCUGCAAGUGUUCCCGUAAGACCCAGAGCCAAGUCGGGCACCAUGAUCUGCUACCUUUAUUAUUUCUUUAAGAAACUCCUCCAGUUUCCCACGAACGAAAAUGGUUCUUUCUCCGUUUCUCAUAUUGUGGUACGUUUGGUUAUCCUCAGUCUCGCCCCCUUCAACAGCAGCAACAGUUUCGGACCGCUUGACGCAGAACCAGGUGCUUGAAGAUGGGCAAACAUUGGUCUCCUCUGGACAGCGCUUUGAGCUCGGUUUCUUUAGCAGAGGCAAUUCUAGCCACAGGUACUUGGGCAUUUGGUACAAGAAUAUCACUCUCACUGUGGUCUGGGUCGCCAACAGAAACAAGUAUAUCAGUGGCCAAUCAGGGUCACUGUCAAUGGGUUCAAAUGGAUUCUCACUUUUGCUUAAUAAUUCGGAGAAACUUUGGUCUGUCAAUACCACCAGGGUGUUAGAGAGCCCCAUUUUGCAGCUCUUGGACAACGGCAAUCUUGUUUUGAAAGAGGAAAACAAUCCUGAUCUGGAAGGGUAUGUCUGGCAAAGUUUCGAUGAUAUAACCGACACCUUGUUGCCAGGUAUGAAGCUUGGUUGGAACCUUAAAACCGGCCUGUACCGGAAUAUGACAUCAUGGUUAUCAGCUGAUGACCCAUCUGCCGGAGACUACACUUUUAGCCUAGACUCCCCUGAGACACCUCAGCUGGUGCUCAUCAAAGGGACCCAGAAGAAAUACAGGUGGGGUCCGUGGGAUGGAGUCAGGUUCAGUGGCAGCAAUGAGCUGAGGUCCAACCCUGUGUUUACACCCAUGUUCAAUUCAAGCCGUGAAGAAGUUUAUUAUACAUUCGAGGUGAUAGACCAGGAGUCACUUUUGUCAAGGUUUGUGGUGACUCAAGACGGCUGGAUUCAGUACCUAACAUGGAGUAAGAGUAGCAAUGAGUGGGUUGCGAUGGUGACUCUUCAGAGGGACAGUUGUGAUAGGUAUGAGACAUGUGGGCCCUAUGGGAAUUGUUACAGUGAUGGCCCGAAAUGCAAUUGUUUGAAAGGUUUUACGCCAAAGUCUCCGGAGGACUGGUCGAGGAUUAUUUGGUCAGGCGGGUGUGUGAGGAGGUGGGAGUUAGAAUGUGAAAAUGGAGAUGGGUUCGUCAAGUAUGGAGGAAUGAAGUUGCCUGAUUAUUCGCAUUUGGUAGAGAGUAGGAAUUUGAGCCUUGAGAUUUGUGAGGCUGAGUGUUUGAGGAAUUGUUCGUGUAUGGCAUUUACUUUGAUAGAUAUCCAUGGAAGUGGGGGCGACUGUGUGAUGUGGUUUGGUGAUUUGGUUGAUAUGAAACAUUUUCCCAGUGGUGGGGAUGAUCUCUAUAUACGAAUGGCGAAAAAGGAACUAGAGUCAAUUGCUGAUGCUAGGAGGAAUAAACGAGUAAGGGUGAUUGUCACCGUUGUCAUUUGUGUGGCUACUGGGAUGCUUCUAUGUGGUGUUAUUAGCUGGUGUACUAUUCGAAUAAGAAAAGCAAAGAGAAGAGCUGCAUGCUUAAACCAUCCCCAUAGAUAUUUAAUGGAAGAAACUCAGGAGGAAGACCUUGAGCUUGCUCUUUUUAAUCUGAAGACUGUUUUGGCUGCUACUGACGAGUUCUCUUUUAGAAAUAAGAUUGGGCAGGGUGGCUUUGGUCCUGUCUACAAGGGUGUAUUACCGAGCAAACAAGAAAUUGCAGUUAAGAGGCUCUCUCGGGACUCGGGGCAGGGUCUUAGAGAGUUUAAGAAUGAAGUUAUUUUGAUUUCAAAGCUUCAACACCGUAAUCUUGUAAAGCUUUUGGGAUGCUGCGUUCAUGGAGAUGAAAGGAUGCUAAUCUAUGAGUACCUUCCCAACAAAAGCUUGGACUACUUUCUCUUUGAUCAGACUAGAAAGAAAUUACUGGCUUGGAAGAAGCGCUUUGGCAUUAUUUUGGGGAUAGCACGAGGACUCCUUUAUCUCCAUCAAGACUCCAGGCUAAGAAUCAUCCAUAGGGAUCUCAAAGCAAGCAACAUCUUACUAGAUAGUGAGAUGAACCCCAAAAUCUCUGAUUUUGGACUUGCAAGAAUUUUUGGAGCAGACCAGACACAAGAGAUGACCAAGAGAGUAAUGGGAACAUAUGGCUACAUGUCACCAGAAUAUGCAAUGAGUGGACACUUUUCAGUGAAAUCAGAUGUAUUUAGCUUUGGUGUGUUAGUGUUGGAGGUGAUAAGCGGAAAGAAAAACUGGGGAUUUUGGCACCCUGACCAUGACCUCAACUUGAUUGGACAUGCAUGGAAUUUGUGGAUUAAAGGGAAUCCAUUGGAACUCGUGGAGGCACUGAUGGACGACUCAUAUUCUGUGGAUGAAGUUUUAAGAUAUAUCCAAGUGGGUCUUUUGUGUGUACAGCAAAGGGUGGAAGACAGGCCAACUAUGUCAUCGGUGUUAUUAAUGUUGGCAAAUGAGAAUGCAAUGGUGCCUCAACCCAAGGAACCUGGUUUUUAUACUGAAGUUUCUUCUAUCGGAAUGGAUACAUUGUCGAGUGGGAAAAAUCGUCAUACUACUACGAAUGAGGUAUCUGUUACAAUGUUUGAUGGACGAUAGACGUUUUGGUUUUGAUAUUUAAAAAUCUUAUAGAGUUUGUAUAAAUUGUACAGUUCUCCACACAGGAAUUAAAUUAAACUACAAAAUAAUUUCCAGAAUUUAUGAACGACCAGACAGAAAGUUCACAGAUGUAGCUCUAGAGGGUUACUUGAGGAAUAAGGACAGGUGCAACUUGAGGAUUGGCAAUGGAGACCUAUUCCCAUUAAGUUUAUGAUUUAUUGUAAAAUUUAGGAUAUUUAAUCAUUUUGGGAUACCAACAAUUUGUGGCUUAUUUUAUAAAGAGGAGAUGAAUAGAUCUUGGUAUUUAAUA
This is an RNA transcript of Carya illinoinensis, 3089 nucleotides long. It is a transcript of the gene named G-type lectin S-receptor-like serine/threonine-protein kinase At4g27290, with no coding region annotated. The record is from RefSeq and is a predicted model, not a curated record. NCBI's taxonomy places the organism in Eukaryota, Viridiplantae, Streptophyta, Magnoliopsida, Fagales, Juglandaceae. The transcript is spliced from 8 exons.